GACGAACGCUGGCGGCGUGCUUAACACAUGCAAGUCGAGCGAUGAAGCACCUUCGGGUGUGAAUUAGCGGCGAACGGGUGAGGAACACGUGAGAAAUCUGCCUUCAACACUGGGAUAACUCCGGGAAACCGGGGCUAAUACCGGAUAUGAAACCUGCGGGCAUCCGCGGGUUUGGAAAGUUUUUCGGUUGAAGAUGAUCUCGCGGCCUAUCAGCUUGUUGGUGAGGUAAUGGCUCAACAAGGGGACGACGGGUAGCUGGCCUGAGAGGGCGACCGGCCACACUGGGACUGAGACACGGCCCAGACUCCUACGGGAGGCAGCAGUGGGGAAUAUUGGGCAAUGGAGGAAACUCUGACCCAGCGACGCCGCGUGCGGGAUGAAGGCCUUCGGGUUGUAAACCGCUUUCAGCAGGGAAGAAGCGAAAGUGACGGUACCUGCAGAAGAAGCACCGGCUAACUAUGUGCCAGCAGCCGCGGUAA
This 479-nucleotide ribosomal RNA is filed under the name uncultured bacterium. Its description in RNAcentral is "partial 16S ribosomal RNA". It matches the Rfam family "Bacterial small subunit ribosomal RNA", at positions 28 to 523 of the family's 1533-position model. The record is from RNAcentral.